Molecule: RNA transcript, 2290 nt
Organism: Sinocyclocheilus rhinocerous
Lineage: Eukaryota; Metazoa; Chordata; Actinopteri; Cypriniformes; Cyprinidae
Gene name: GDNF family receptor alpha-4-like
Exons: 8
Source: RefSeq, a predicted model, not a curated record
CGCUGAGUUUGAGGACCGGAUUGAGCACAUUGUGCUGUGGGACAGCAGGAAUCAAGCAUCUGUGGUCGCGCUCACAUAUAUUAAACUGAUGCGCACUAAUGCGCACACUGGCACAUCUGACGCGCGCCUUGGUUACGCUUCUAUCAUGGUGGUACGCGUUUGAUUCGAGGAUUAUUAUUUUAGAAGACUCCGAUCGUGAGUAUAACGGACAUCUGCUGCAUUUAGCAGUUUGUAAUUUCCCCCUUGUGUGUUGUAUGAAAUCAUUGCUCUCCUCUUCGGACACCUCUUACGCAUUAGAAAGCUACUGAUAUCGCACAAGUUGGUAGUUGGAACUGAUUUUCGGACACGUCGUUUUGGAGAUUUCCAUCAGUCGGACGGUGGUCCUCUUGUAUGGAUGUAGUGACUCGGACUGAGUCGGACCGAUCCGGGGGUUCCAGACGCGCUUCCCCGAGAUUACCCAGCAGCAUCACCGUUCAACCGAGCGCAUCCAGCAGCAGUCGACAUGAUCCUUCUGGGAAUACUUCUAAAUCUGUUCGUCAUUAAGGGGGCUGUUCCGUCUGUGGUGCCAGUGUUCCCCGGGACUGUGGACUGCAUAGAGGCUGUACAGGAAUGUAUAAAGGACCCGGAGUGUAAGCGACAGUUCCGGCACCUGGAGUACUGUGUGGAUGAAGAGGCGGUGGCUCCCCUCAGUCUGGAGGGGCGGCAGGCCUGUGUCGACGCCCAGAACAACCUCAUGCACUAUCAGAGCCUGCAAGAAUGCAAGUGUCAGCGAGGGUCUCGCAUGGAACAUCAGUGCCUGAGCAUUUACUGGACCGUCCGUUUUCCACAGGGUUAUGAUGACAUUGAGACGUCCCCAUAUGAAGACAUUGAACUGGAACUUGUGAAAAAUAGCGAAACAUCAAAACUAGCCUCAAUAGUUUCAGUGUCCUCCCUUCCUCUGACGGAUCAGAACCAGUGUUUGAAAGCAGCUCAGGACUGUGGAUUGUACGAGAAGUGCGGGUCCCUGCGCUCUGAGUACGCGUUAGCAUGCACUAAGAUCAUUCCUGGCACGAACCACUGUAACCGGCACAAAUGUCACCGGGCCCUGCGGAGGUUCCUGGAGCGUGUUCCAGAGGAGUACAGUUUUGGUGUCUUAUUUUGUCCCUGUUCGGAUACACUGUGCGGGGAGAGAAGGAGAAAAACCAUUGUGCCCUCCUGUUCUUAUGAGGAGCGAGACGGACAGCCCAACUGCCUCAAUCUGGAGAGUUACUGUCUCAAAGACAACCUGUGCAGGUCAAGAUUGGCUGAUUUCCAGCAGAACUGUCAGCCGUCUUCUCUCUCUCCCUCCGGCUGUCUCCGGGAAAGUGGAGCUGUGUGCCUCAAGGCCUACGCUGGGCUCACCGGUACCAUCAUGACACCAAACUACGUGAGUAACAGCAGUACAGAGGUGUCGCAGUGGUGUAAUUGCGAAGGCAGCGGGAAUCAGUGGCAGGACUGCCUGCGUAUCCUGCACAUGUUCAACAGCAACACCUGCCUGCGUAAUGCCAUUGAUAACAUGGGAAGCUCCACCCCUCAUCCAGUAGAAGGCACGCCCCUUCCUCCACCUCGCCCCUCCCCUCAGGUCCAGCACGAUGAGCUGAAAAUUAACCUGUUGCCUGAACCCGGUGUGGUGAGUAGUGAACACAUUUCCUAAAACAACCACCACACAAUCAAACUCCUUCAUCUACAAUGCUAACUCAACGUAAUUCACACAGAAGAACCAUUUAUAAAGCUCCGCCCAUGUAUACUAGUUCCGUAUAAUCACAAUAAACCUGGUUCUUAUUCUUGUCGUAGCUUUGUGGUUAAUUCUGGCCUUUGAUACAUGAGAUUUGCAAAAAACGGCAGGCCCAGCAAACCCGCAGUCCUUGCGCUUUGAGCAUACUGAUGGAUCCGAGAACUGAACUGAAACGGUUAUGCACGGCUGAUUGUGUCACUGCAGAAACACACGGUCACACGGCAUCACUCUGCAGCCGCUACAAUGGUAAACAAAUGCCACAUGUACCUAAAGGGAACAGUGUGGGGUCGGAAUCAAACUGCCUGAACUGCCACCUUCAAUUCAAUCAGAAAUAAUCACACAACCCACAGGCCCUCAAGAACACAAUCAUGGUAAGGAAUUAAAUCUAUAUCGAAUUGCUCUGUCCUUUAGUCAGAUUAUAUUGUGCUUUGGAAUGAGGGUGUCAGCUUUAUUUUUCUUUCAUUAUGGCUGGCCGCCAAACUUUAAAUGACUCAGUGAGACUUAGUAGGCAGCGUCACUGAAUCAGAUCUUUAAUUU